RNAcentral lists this ribosomal RNA (733 nucleotides) under uncultured eukaryote. RNAcentral's name for it is "bacterial SSU rRNA". It matches the Rfam family "Eukaryotic small subunit ribosomal RNA", at positions 670 to 1408 of the family's 1831-position model. The record is from RNAcentral.
CGGGUGCACUGAUCCGGCCGGGCCUUUCCCUCUGUGGAACCCCAUGGCCUUCACUGGCUGUGCGGGGGAAACAGGACUUUUACUGUGAAAAAAUUAGAGUGCUCCAGGCAGGCCUAUGCUCGAAUACAUUAGCAUGGAAUAAUAGAAUAGGACGCGUGGUUCUAUUUUGUUGGUUUCUAGGACCGCCGUAAUGAUUAAUAGGGACAGUCGGGGGCAUCAGUAUUCAAUUGUCAGAGGUGAAAUUCUUGGAUCUAUUGAAGACUAACUACUGCGAAAGCAUUUGCCAAGGAUGUUUUCAUUGAUAAGGAACGAAAGUUAGGGGAUCGAAGACGAUCAGAUACCGUCGUAGUCUUAACUAUAAACUAUGCCGACUAGGGAUCGGACGAUGUUAUUUCUUGACGCGUUCGGCACCUUUCGAGAAAUCAAAGUGCUUGGGCUCCAGGGGGAGUAUGGUCGCAAGGCUGAAACUUAAAGGAAUUGACGGAAGGGCACCACCAGGAGUGGAGCCUGCGGCUUAAUUUGACUCAACACGGGGAAACUCACCAGGUCCAGAUGAAAUAAGGAUUGACAGAUUGAGAGCUCUUUCUUGAUUCUAUGGGUGGUGGUGCAUGGCCGUUCUUAGUUGGUGGAGUGAUUUGUCUGGUUGAUUCCGUUAACGAACGAGACCUCGGCCUGCUAAAUAGCCACGCUUACUCUUCCAUCCAAAGCCAGGGUGGUGUGUUGGGAUGGGGUU